CAGCAGCCGCCGCGGUAAUACGUAGGGUGCGAGCGUUAAUCGGAAUUACUGGGCGUAAGGCGUGCGCAGGCGGUUGUGUAAGACAGGUGUGAAAUCCCCAGGCUUAACCUGGGAACUGCGCUUGUGACUGCACAGCUAGAGUAUGGCAGAGGGGGGUGGAAUUCCACGUGUAGCAGUGAAAUGCGUAGAGAUGUGGAGGAACACCGAUGGCGAAGGCAGCCCCCUGGGCCAAUACUGACGCUCAUGCACGAAAGCGUGGGGAGCAAACAGGAUUAGAUACCCCCGUAGUCCCUGUCUCUUAUAC
Molecule: ribosomal RNA, 304 nt
Filed under: uncultured bacterium
Lineage: Bacteria
Description: partial 16S ribosomal RNA
Rfam family: Bacterial small subunit ribosomal RNA
Source: RNAcentral